GAUGAACGCUGGCGGCGUGCCUAAUACAUGCAAGUCGAGCGAACGGACGAGAAGCUUGCUUCUCUGAUGUUAGCGGCGGACGGGUGAGUAACACGUGGAUAACCUACCUAUAAGACUGGGAUAACUUCGGGAAACCGGAGCUAAUACCGGAUAAUAUUUUGAACCGCAUGGUUCAAAAGUGAAAGACGGUCUUGCUGUCACUUAUAGAUGGAUCCGCGCUGCAUUAGCAAGUUGGUAAGGUAACGGCUUACCAAGGCAACGAUGCAUAGCCGACCUGAGAGGGUGAUCGGCCACACUGGAACUGAGACACGGUCCAGACUCCUACGGGAGGCAGCAGUAGGGAAUCUUCCGCAAUGGGCGAAAGCCUGACGGAGCAACGCCGCGUGAGUGAUGAAGGUCUUCGGAUCGUAAAACUCCGUUAUUAGGGAAGAACAUAUGUGUAAGUAACUGUGCACAUCUUGACGGUACCUAAUCAGAAAGCCACGGCUAACUACGUG
This 497-nucleotide ribosomal RNA is filed under the name uncultured bacterium. RNAcentral's name for it is "partial 16S ribosomal RNA". It matches the Rfam family "Bacterial small subunit ribosomal RNA", at positions 28 to 507 of the family's 1533-position model. The record is from RNAcentral.